This 123-nucleotide small RNA is filed under the name uncultured archaeon A07HR60. RNAcentral's name for it is "HgcC family RNA". The record is from RNAcentral.
GAGGAAAUGAUGGGAUGGAUAAUGAACGCCACCGUAUGACUGUGCGUAACAUGCUCACUUACGGAGAAUCGAGGAGAAAGCCCCGUCCUUGAGGACGGGGAUGAAUCCGACAAUCAGACUAAC